GACGAACGCUGGCGGCGUGCUUAACACAUGCAAGUCGAACGGAAAGGCCCCUUUGGGGGUACUCUAGUGGCGAACGGGUGAGUAACACGUGAGUAACCUGCCCUUGCCUCCGGGAUAACUUCAGGAAACUGGGGCUAAUACCGGUUAGGAAUCCUUGCUGCAUGGGGGGGGUUGGAAAGCUUCGGCGGUUUUGGGUGGACUCGCGGCGUAUCGGCUUGUUGGUGGGGUAGUGGCUUACCAAGGCUUCGACGGGUAGCCGGACUGAGAGAGCGACCGGCCACCUUGAGUCUGACAUGCGGCCCAGGCACCGACGGGUGGCAGAAGGGGGGAAUAUUGAACAAGGGGCGGCGGCCUGGUGCAGCAGGGCCGCGGGCGGGAAGACGGCCUUCGGGUUGAAGACCGCUUUCAGCAGGGGCGAAGCUUGUGGUGACGGUACCUGCAGAAGAAGCACCGGCUAACUACGUG
Molecule: ribosomal RNA, 465 nt
Filed under: uncultured bacterium
Lineage: Bacteria
Description: partial 16S ribosomal RNA
Rfam family: Bacterial small subunit ribosomal RNA
Source: RNAcentral